RNAcentral lists this ribosomal RNA (832 nucleotides) under uncultured Bacteroidota bacterium. RNAcentral's name for it is "bacterial SSU rRNA". It matches the Rfam family "Bacterial small subunit ribosomal RNA", at positions 121 to 956 of the family's 1533-position model. Lineage: Bacteria; Pseudomonadati; Bacteroidota. The record is from RNAcentral.
GCAAUCUACCUUUUACAGAGGGAUAGCCCAGAGAAAUUUGGAUUAAUACCUCAUAGUAUGUGAGAAUGGCAUCAUUUUCACAUUAAAGUCACAACGGUAAAAGAUGAGCAUGCGUCCCAUUAGCUAGUUGGUAAGGUAACGGCUUACCAAGGCUACGAUGGGUAGGGGUCCUGAGAGGGAGAUCCCCCACACUGGUACUGAGACACGGACCAGACUCCUACGGGAGGCAGCAGUGAGGAAUAUUGGACAAUGGGCGCAAGCCUGAUCCAGCCAUGCCGCGUGCAGGAUGACGGUCCUAUGGAUUGUAAACUGCUUUUGCACAGGAAGAAACAACUCUACGUGUAGAGUCUUGACGGUACUGUGAGAAUAAGGAUCGGCUAACUCCGUGCCAGCAGCCGCGGUAAUACGGAGGAUCCAAGCGUUAUCCGGAAUCAUUGGGUUUAAAGGGUCCGUAGGCGGUUUAGUAAGUCAGUGGUGAAAGCCCAUCGCUCAACGGUGGAACGGCCAUUGAUACUGCUAGACUUGAAUUAUUAGGAAGUAACUAGAAUAUGUAGUGUAGCGGUGAAAUGCUUAGAGAUUACAUGGAAUACCAAUUGCGAAGGCAGGUUACUACUAAUGGAUUGACGCUGAUGGACGAAAGCGUGGGUAGCGAACAGGAUUAGAUACCCUGGUAGUCCACGCCGUAAACGAUGGAUACUAGCUGUUGGGAGCGAUCUCAGUGGCUAAGCGAAAGUGAUAAGUAUCCCACCUGGGGAGUACGUUCGCAAGAAUGAAACUCAAAGGAAUUGACGGGGGCCCGCACAAGCGGUGGAGCAUGUGGUUUAAUUCGAUG